RNAcentral lists this ribosomal RNA (500 nucleotides) under uncultured bacterium. Its description in RNAcentral is "partial 16S ribosomal RNA". It matches the Rfam family "Bacterial small subunit ribosomal RNA", at positions 30 to 523 of the family's 1533-position model. The record is from RNAcentral.
AUUGAACGCUGGCGGCAGGCCUAACACAUGCAAGUCGAGCGGAUGACGGGAGCUUGCUCCUUGAUUCAGCGGCGGACGGGUGAGUAAUGCCUAGGAAUCUGCCUGGUAUUGGGGGACAACGGUUCGAAAGGAACGCUAAUACCGCAUACGUCCUACGUGAGACAGCAGGGGACCUUCGGGCCUUGCGCUAUCAGAGGAGCCUAGGUCGGAUUAGCUAGUUGGUGGGGUAAUGGCUCACCAAGGCGACGAUCCGUAACUGGUCUGAGAGGAUGGUCAGUCACACUGGAACUGAGACACGGUCCAGACUCCUACGGGAGGCAGCAGUGGGGAAUAUUGGACAAUGGGCGAAAGCCUGAUCCAGCCAUGCCGCGUGUGUGAAGAAGGUCUUCGGAUUGUAAAGCACUUUAAGUUGGGAGGAAGGGCAGUAAGCUAAUACCUUGCUGUUUUGACGUUACCGACAGAAUAAGCACCGGCUAACUCUGUGCCAGCAGCCGCCGUAA